AAAGCUUUAAGUUAAUAAAACUAAUAACCUUCAAAGUUAUAAAUACAAUAAAAUUUGUAGGCUUUA
This 66-nucleotide transfer RNA is filed under the name Tuxedo elongatus. RNAcentral describes it as "tRNA-Trp". The record is from RNAcentral. Lineage: Eukaryota; Metazoa; Arthropoda; Insecta; Hemiptera; Miridae.